CUUUAAGAGGCAAUUUUUUUCAAUGUCACGUAUUUGCAAUGAAAAGUGUUCAAAACCUAAAAUCUUUUUGGCGUUCCUCUCAAAAUUACUUUGUUUUAGCUUUAUUCUCUAGUUUAGAGAGGUGGCUACCUUUUUAAAUGCAUCUGCCGGUUGAGAAACAUAAAAUAAUAGUUAAAAAUUGUCAAUUAAGGUACAAAUAUCAAUGAUGCUUUAAAAUUGACGCCAUAUUUAUAGCCAUAUAAGCAAAACUUACUGAAUUUCAGACAUCAUUUUCUCUUUGGCGUAUCAUCUAAAAUCUCUUCAUUUUGGCAUUAUUUUACAGAUAAAGCACUAAACAUACUUUUUAAGUUUGUUUACCGACGAGAAACGUAACGAAAAAUAUUUGAAUAAUAUAAUUUUGAAUUUAGUCAUAACCUCAAGCGAUAUAUUAUACGCAUUACCAUUAGUUCUGAGCGCAUGUUACGUAACAUACAAAAAAAUCUCCUCUUAAUCAAGUACUCCUCAAACAGUUUACACUAUACCAGGGGAUAUAGAAAUAUAGCUAACUAUUUACAAUAAUACGGUAAUAUACAGAAUGUGCUUACUAUAGUAAAAAGAUAUAAAUUACGAUCUCACGAAAGCAAUUGCUUUCUCCUUAAAAACAGAAAAACUACUAAGAUUACUCAUUGACAUUGUCAGUGGGAUAUUGUUCCACGCAAUAAUAGUUCUUGGAUAAAAAGAAUACCUAUAUACAUUAAUGCUAGUUUGUAAAU
This is a non-coding RNA of Paramuricea clavata, 752 nucleotides long. NCBI's taxonomy places the organism in Eukaryota, Metazoa, Cnidaria, Anthozoa, Malacalcyonacea, Plexauridae. The record is from the annotation of a GenBank genome assembly.